RNAcentral lists this unclassified non-coding RNA (271 nucleotides) under uncultured fungus. RNAcentral's name for it is "sequence contains ITS1, 5.8S rRNA gene". The stretch from base 223 to 271 matches the Rfam family "5.8S ribosomal RNA", at positions 1 to 49 of the family's 154-position model. The record is from RNAcentral. Lineage: Eukaryota; Fungi.
UCUCCGUUGGUGAACCAGCGGAGGGAUCAUUGCUGGAACAAACGCCCUCACGGGCGCCACCCAGAAACCCUUUGUGAACCUAUAAAAAAAGUGUUGCCUCGGCACUGGUUGCUUCUAUCGAAGCCCUGGCCCCCAUGCCAGGAGCCGACCGGCCGGCGCUCCCCUAUAAACUCUUGUUUCCUAGUAAAAUCCUCUGAGUAACAAAACAACUAAAUGAAUCAAAACUUUCAACAACGGAUCUCUUGGUUCUGGCAUCGAUGAAGAACGCAGC